Long non-coding RNA from Prionailurus viverrinus (fishing cat), 487 nucleotides. RefSeq lists it as uncharacterized. The transcript is spliced from 3 exons. NCBI's taxonomy places the organism in Eukaryota, Metazoa, Chordata, Mammalia, Carnivora, Felidae. The record is from RefSeq and is a predicted model, not a curated record.
UAAGAGGGAAAAAAACUACGCAAAAAAUGUAAGAAUGUAAAAGAAAGUCAAGUAUAUGGGAUAAUAUUACGGUGGAACCAGGACUGCAUUGAAAGAGAUCUGGAAAACUUUGGCAUUUAUGAAUUCUUAAGAGAAAAAAAAAAACAUGUCUGUAAGACUAAAAUGAAGCGUAAGCAGAGACAAGAUGUAUUCAAAAUCAAAAUAACAGAAGUCCAUGGCCAUUUAUGAAGCCCACAGGAAAAGCCAGUGGGAUAAUUCAGAAGUAUACUACAGCAAGGUUAAAAUCCUGACAACUCCCAGACAGUCUCUCCAUUCUUGGUUGUGAAAUUUUUCUUGAUUCAACUGUGUCCAAGCUUAGGAAACAAAUGUUUCUUCCCAUUUUUUAGAGCUGAUCAUGAACUGAGAAGUUUGGGGCUCUGUCUUGCUCAGCUCUCUCAUGUCAGACUGGGAACUUACGUCAGUUGACAUUGUCAAGCUUUUUGUUACU